RNAcentral lists this ribosomal RNA (468 nucleotides) under uncultured bacterium. RNAcentral describes it as "partial 16S ribosomal RNA". It matches the Rfam family "Bacterial small subunit ribosomal RNA", at positions 28 to 507 of the family's 1533-position model. The record is from RNAcentral.
GACGAACGCUGGCGGCGUGCUUAACACAUGCAAGUCGAACGGAAAGGCCCUGCUUUUGUGGGGUGCUCGAGUGGCGAACGGGUGAGUAACACGUGAGUAACCUGCCCUUGACUUUGGGAUAACUUCAGGAAACUGGGGCUAAUACCGGAUAGGAGCUCCUGCUGCAUGGUGGGGGUUGGAAAGUUUCGGCGGUUGGGGAUGGACUCGCGGCUUAUCAGCUUGUUGGUGGGGUAGUGGCUUACCAAGGCUUUGACGGGUAGCCGGCCUGAGAGGGUGACCGGCCACAUUGGGACUGAGAGACGGCGCAGACUCCUACGGGAGGCAGCAGUGGGGAAUAUUGCACAAUGGGCGGGAGCCUGAUGCAGCAACGCCGCGUGCGGGAUGACGGCCUUCGGGUUGUAAACCGCUUUCGCCUGUGACGAAGCGUGAGUGACGGUAAUGGGUAAAGAAGCACCGGCUAACUACGUG